CUCAAAUAAUCCAUAUGUUGAAGUCCUAACCCUCAAUACCACAGAAUGUGACCCUAUUUGGAAACAGGACUGUUGCAGAUAUAAUUGGUGAUAAUGAGGUCAGGCUAGAGUAGGGUUGACCCCUAAUAAAAUAUGACUGGUUUCCUCAUAAGAAGGGAAACUUUAGACACAGACACAUACAGGGAGAAUGCCAUGUGAAGAGACAGGCAGAAAUCAGAGUGACGCUUCUAUAAGCCAAAUACUGUGCUGGACCCAUAUUAACCUCAACAGGGAUGGCACCAGGUUCAAGAAGUUGAAGAAGAGACCCAGAGCCAGCAAACGAGACCCCGUGAGACACAGAGUUUUAUCAGCUGGAAACUUACAUACAGAGCGGUUCCAUGGUGGUGAGCUGGGCGGGAGAACUGCCACUGCUUGUGCAUCUACCAUACUCUAAGGAAUGCCAAAAUUGCUAGCAAAUCAUCAGAAGCUAGACAAGAGGCUUGAAACAGAUUCUCAAAGCCCUCACAAGGAACCAAGCCUGGACACUUCUAGCCUCUAGAACUGUAAGACACUAUAUAUCUGUUGUUUAAGCCACCCAGUUUGUGGCACUUUGCUAUGGCAACCCUAGAAAUUAAUACAUUCCCUCUUUCACAAUUUUUAAAAAGUAAAGAAAUAGAUGCAUCUUUGCUUUGGCAUGAAAUAUUAGAACAACACAAAAAUAUGUAGAAUAAAAAGUGAAAUGCCCCCCCCUUCACCAUCCUAAUACCAUUCCUCUCCAACAUAACCACAAUUAUACUGGGUAGCUACUCCUCCAGAACUUUUUCUGUGCAUUUACACACAGAUUUGUAGAGAUGCUCAUAUGUGUUUAUGAACCCAGUUUUUCUGACUCUGGGUUUUCCCUUACAUGUUAUUAUUCACUCGGAUACCUAAGAUAAUGUUUACUCGUCUAUUGAUUGUUAAUUCAAAGUGUUUCUUCUUUUUAACAACCCAUUGAAGUUGUGUGCACGUGUAUGUGUGUGUGUGAGUGUAUUUUCAUAAUCAUUUCAGGAAGAAAGAAAAAUUCAAACAAAGAGACCUCUCUGAGGUAAAAUGUGCACAUUGGAAAAGCUUUUAGAUAUUGCAGACAUAGAUAUACUUGCUUUGCAUUCAUCCUACAGCUAGAGACCAGGUGAAAAGUGUGAAAUACAAGUUUUGUGAUAUGUUUUCCCUCAAGCUCAGAGGGUAAUUCAUGCUUCCACGUAAAUACAGGUGGUAGUUAUCUACCCACAGAUGUGACUGCCCCCCUCCAAGUUUUACCUGUUAAAAAUGCAUCUUUUCCCACUGCCUGGACAAGGUGCUACUCUCUCCUAUCAACUCAGAAAUUUCUGCUUUUUAAAAACAAAGCCAAAUAAAAAAACAACACUGUCUCCAUAUGGCCACUGUUGCAGAGCGCAUAUGGUGCCUGGAAGGAAAGAGAAAGCCUUGCACUCCUGUGGUCCUCUCCAGUUGAUACAUAGACUAAAGUUCAAGAAUGCUCAAUCUGCAUAUGAAUGGAGGGAAGCGUGGGGUCUGAAAGGGGAAGUCAGCAGGUACCUCCUGCAGCCCUGGGUGGCCUGUUUCCAAGUCCGGUGUCCUUCCUGCCUCACUCACCACCGUUCUUAGAGUACUUCAUUCCCUGGGUGCCACACAAAUGAGGCAUCCCACCAGCCAAGAUGGAAAAUAUUUCAUUAACUGUGCUGCCCAUGGAAAAUAAAAGUAGAAGGGAGAGCCCAGAACAGAGGCUGAGGCAGAAAAGAGAAUGGUGGAGGUGAAAGCCUGAAGCCCAAAAGGAAAAAAAGAAGCAAAAUGAAGAUGUGGAGUGGCAGCCGUGGGAGGAGAGGGGUGAUCACAAGGGGGUGGACAGAAAAGGCCUUGGCCUAAUAUAGCAGUUUGGCCCCUGUCAUGGUUAAUUUUGUGUCAAUAUUUGGCUAAACAUUUUUCUGGAUGUUUCUGUGAGGGUGUUUUCUGCGAAUGAGAUUAACAUUUAAAUUGCUGGACUUUUAGUAGCAUGCCCCUUCAUAACACAGCUGUGACUUAUCCAAUCCAUUGAAGGCCUUAACAGAAAAA
This 2064-nucleotide long non-coding RNA is filed under the name Homo sapiens (human). Its description in RNAcentral is "HSALNT0339677". Lineage: Eukaryota; Metazoa; Chordata; Mammalia; Primates; Hominidae. The record is from RNAcentral.